RNAcentral lists this ribosomal RNA (253 nucleotides) under uncultured bacterium. Its description in RNAcentral is "partial 16S ribosomal RNA". It matches the Rfam family "Bacterial small subunit ribosomal RNA", at positions 524 to 776 of the family's 1533-position model. The record is from RNAcentral.
UACGAGGGGGGCAAGCGUUGUUCGGAAUUACUGGGCGUAAAGCGCGUGUAGGCUGUUCGGAAAGUCGGGUGUGAAAGCCCUGGGCUCAACCUAGGAAGUGCACUCGAAACUCCCGAACUGGAGUCCCGGAGAGGAAGGUGGAAUUCUCGGUGUAGAGGUGAAAUUCGUAGAUAUCGAGAGGAACAUCGGUGGCGAAGGCGGCCUUCUGGACGGUGACUGACGCUGAGACGCGAAAGCGUGGGGAGCAAACAGG